GACGAACGUUGGCGGCGUGCUUAACACAUGCAAGUCGAACGGAAAGGCCCUGCUUUUGUGGGGUGCUCGAGUGGCGAACGGGUGAGUAACACGUGAGUAACCUGCCCUUGACUUUGGGAUAACUUCAGGAAACUGGGGCUAAUACCGGAUAGGAGCUCCUGCUGCAUGGUGGGGGUUGGAAAGUUUCGGCGGUUGGGGAUGGACUCGCGGCUUAUCAGCUUGUUGGUGGGGUAGUGGCUUACCAAGGCUUUGACGGGUAGCCGGCCUGAGAGGGUGACCGGCCACAUUGGGACUGAGAUACGGCCCAGACUCCUACGGGAGGCAGCAGUGGGGAAUAUUGCACAAUGGGCGGAAGCCUGAUGCAGCAACGCCGCGUGCGGGAUGACGGCCUUCGGGUUGUAAACCGCUUUCGCCUGUGACGAAGCGUGAGUGACGGUAAUGGGUAAAGAAGCACCGGCUAACUACGUGCCAGCAGCCGCGGUGAUACGUAGGGUGCGAGCGUUGUCCGGAUUUAUUGGGCGUAAAGGGCUCGUAGGUGGUUGAUCGCGUCGGAAGUGUAAUCUUGGGGCUUAACCCUGAGCGUGCUUUCGAUACGGGUUGACUUGAGGAAGGUAGGGGAGAAUGGAAUUCCUGGUGGAGCGGUGGAAUGCGCAGAUAUCAGGAGGAACACCAGUGGCGAAGGCGGUUCUCUGGGCCUUUCCUGACGCUGAGGAGCGAAAGCGUGGGAGCGAACAGGCUUAGAUACCCUGGUAGUCCACGCUGUAAACGGUGGGUACUAGGUGUGGGGUCCAUUCCACGGGUUCCGUGCCGUAGCUAACGCUUUAAGUACCCCGCCUGGGGAGUACGGCCGCAAGGCUAAAACUCAAAGGAAUUGACGGGGCCCCGCACAAGCGGCGGAGCAUGCGGAUUAAUUCGAUGCAACGCGUAGAACCUUACCUGGGUUUGACAUGGAUCGGGAGUGCUCAGAGAUGGGUGUGCCUCUUUUGGGGUCGGUUCACAGGUGGUGCAUGCCUGUCGUCAGCUCGUGUCGUGAGAUGUUGGGUUAAGUCCCGCAACGAGCGCAACCCUUGUUCACUGUUGCCAGCACGUUAUGGUGGGGACUCAGUGGAGACCGCCGGGGUCAACUCGGAGGAAGGUGGGGAUGACGUCAAGUCCUCAUGCCCCUUAUGUCCAGGGCUUCACGCAUGCUACAAUGGCUGGUACAGAGAGUGGCGAGCCUGUGAGGGUGAGCGAAUCUCGGAAAGCCGGUCUCAGUUCGGAUUGGGGUCUGCAACUCGACCUCAUGAAGUCGGAGUCGCUAGUAAUCGCAAAGCAGCAACGCUGCGGUGAAUACGUUCCCGGG
This 1342-nucleotide ribosomal RNA is filed under the name uncultured bacterium. RNAcentral's name for it is "16S ribosomal RNA". It matches the Rfam family "Bacterial small subunit ribosomal RNA", at positions 28 to 1378 of the family's 1533-position model. The record is from RNAcentral.